UGGGGAAUAUUGGACUAUGGGCGCAAGCCUGAUCCAGCCUUGCCGCGUGAGUGAUGAAGGACCUAGGGUUGAAAAGCUCUUUCACCGGUGAAGAUAAUGACGGUAACCGGUGAAGAAGCCCCGGCUAACCUCGUGCCAGCAGCCGCGGUAAUUCGUAGGGGGCUAGCGUUGUUCGGAUUUACUGGGCGUAAAGCGUACGUAGGCGGACUUUUAAGUCAGGGGUGAAAUCCCGGGGCUCAACCCCGGAACUGCCUUUGAUACUGGAAAUCUUGAGUAUGGUAGAGAUGAGAGGAAUUCCGAGUGUAGAGGUGAAAUACGUAGAUAUUCGGAGGAACACCAGUGGCGAAGGCGGCUCACUGGACCAUUACUGUCGCUACAAUGCGAAAGAGUGGGGAGCAAACAGG
This 404-nucleotide ribosomal RNA is filed under the name Actinomycetes bacterium. RNAcentral describes it as "Actinobacteria bacterium partial 16S ribosomal RNA". It matches the Rfam family "Bacterial small subunit ribosomal RNA", at positions 355 to 776 of the family's 1533-position model. Lineage: Bacteria; Bacillati; Actinomycetota; Actinomycetes. The record is from RNAcentral.